GGCGGGCAGUGGGGCUGAGGGGCGGGGAUGCCUCGUGCUUUUCUGUGAACUUCCAAUCGCAAUUGAAGCAAAUUUCAGUGUGAAUUUGCGAGACAGCUACGUAAGAGGUGUAUCGCUGCUCUGUACAGAGAGUAGAGGAUGUUACCCAGAGGACUGAGCACAGAUCUGGAUGUGGGAUCAGGAUCGUGCAGCAGCACUGCGGGUCUGGAGCUGAACAAAGACAGGUCUGGAUUGCUCUGGAUUUUUUUCUUCAGCAUUUUGGGAAAAUGAAUAAGGACACCAGGAAUGUUCAAAGGUUUCCAGUGUUCAAAGAAAUACAGCAGCUGAACAGUACUUACUGAAGCUCUUCUUCUUCGAUGAAGCCGCUCUUGUCCUGAUCAAGGAUUCCAAAAACUUUCUUUAUCUGAUCAGGAGUUUUGCUGGAUAAACCAACCGUGGAGAAGAAAGACUUGUAAUUGAAGGAAUCCGCAGCUGGAAGAAACAAAAACCUCUUAAAUGUUUUCCUUUGAAGUUGCUACUACUGCAUGUACUCCUCAGGAGUACGUACACCUGGUUUUAAACAUCAGCCUGCUCCUUUUGCUCUUGUUCCCCAGUGCAGCAAAGAUGAUUUGGUGGAUACUUGCCCUUUUUAAUCACUCUGUGCCUUUGGUCAUAUUAUCCUUUCAUCCAGUUUGAAAUUUUCUGCUACAGUGCACAUCCUGCUAAAUCAGGACUCUAGCUAUCUGUGUCACAUGCAAUUAAUAAUAAGUAAUCAGAGGGUGCUGCAGUGCCUUACGAACAACUCCUAUAAUUCUUGUUUUAUAUGCACUUAGUCCUUACUUCGGUGAAGAAUUUGGUAGAAAAUAAAGAAAUCGGCAGCCUUGAACUAGCUCAUAGUGCGCUUGGGGAACUGGCUUGAUCCUGCCGGGGAGGAACUCUGAGAGAAGCAAGACUGGUCACUGCUUCACAAGAAAUGGGGGGAUUCUGCAAGCUGCAGCUCGUUCUGGCAUUCUGAAGGACAAGGCUAACCAUUUAAAUCUAGGUCCUCAACAGGUUUGAAAAUUCAGAGCCAGCUUUACACUAACUGAAUCUGUGGCUCUUAUUGCCACUCUGUUUCGGGUAAUGUUACCCACCAAAUAACCACUUGUAAGACUUUCUGAAUUCAAGGAGCUAUACUGUAACGUAGCUACAAAGAGAUCUCACAGGGAAGGAAUCUAAGGGAAAAACGAUAGGCAUGUCAUCUUAAGACAUAAAAAUGAUAUGCAUCUUUUGGCUGGAGAGAGACCGUUCCUUACCCUGGCAGCUGGAGAGAGCAGAUUCAAUAUCUUUAGCAGAAAGGAUGUCAGUGAUGGCCAUUGUUGAGCUGUAAAAUAAAUUAAAUGUGAGCUACUUAGUCAUUAAAAUGACUUCUCUACCUC
Molecule: long non-coding RNA, 1397 nt
Organism: Numida meleagris (helmeted guineafowl)
Lineage: Eukaryota; Metazoa; Chordata; Aves; Galliformes; Numididae
Exons: 4
Source: RefSeq, a predicted model, not a curated record